Molecule: unclassified non-coding RNA, 332 nt
Filed under: soil metagenome
Description: partial contains 5.8S ribosomal RNA, internal transcribed spacer 2, and large subunit ribosomal RNA
Rfam family: 5.8S ribosomal RNA (bases 1-120)
Source: RNAcentral
GAUGAAGAACGUAGCAAAAUGCGAUAAGUAAUGUGAAUUGCAGAAUACAGUGAAUCAUCGAAUCUUUGAACGCACAUUGCGCCCGCCAGUAUUCUGGCGGGCAUGCCUGUUCGAGCGUCAUUUCAACCCUCAAGCACAGCUUGGUGUUGGGACUCGCGUUAAUUCGCGUUCCUCAAAUUGAUUGGCGGUCACGUCGAGCUUCCAUAGCGUAGUAGUAAAACCCUCGUUACUGGUAAUCGUCGCGGCCACGCCGUUAAACCCCAACUUCUGAAUGUUGACCUCGGAUCAGGUAGGAAUACCCGCUGAACUUAAGCAUAUCAAUAAGCGGAGGA